AAAAAGGGGACAAAAAGUAGAUCAUCUUUUUACCAAUUCAGUAGUCCAGAGCUACAGAAAUUAUCAAUAACAAACAUAUGUAGUUCCUAAGAAAUUUCUUUUGUUGUGCUCCUUAGAUGUUCAAAAAUCUUGCUAAAGCCCCUGCAUCUUUUCGUCAACUUUUCAAGAUAUUGCAGUGGGAUUUGCUUACUAAGUAAAAGGUAACUUAAAUUGUGACAUAGCUUUUACUAACUAAGUAGGAAAAAUUUAGCUACAGUAGUAGCUAGGGUUCGGUCGAAGUAGCUUCUUAAUUAAUUUUUUAUCAUCUUAUGGUGCAGGAAGCUCUUAAAAGGAUCUGCAGUUGGGAG
Molecule: long non-coding RNA, 347 nt
Filed under: Nicotiana tabacum (common tobacco)
Lineage: Eukaryota; Viridiplantae; Streptophyta; Magnoliopsida; Solanales; Solanaceae
Description: long non-coding RNA (NTAB_LNC018722)
Source: RNAcentral